GAUGAACGCUAGCUACAGGCUUAACACAUGCAAGUCGAGGGGCAGCAUGGUCUUAGCUUGCUAAGGCCGAUGGCGACCGGCGCACGGGUGAGUAACACGUAUCCAACCUGCCGUCUACUCUUGGACAGCCUUCUGAAAGGAAGAUUAAUACAAGAUGGCAUCAUGAGUCCACAUGUUCACAUGAUUAAAGGUAUUCCGGUAGACGAUGGGGAUGCGUUCCAUUAGAUAGUAGGCGGGGUAACGGCCCACCUAGUCUUCGAUGGAUAGGGGUUCUGAGAGGAAGGUCCCCCACAUUGGAACUGAGACACGGUCCAAACUCCUACGGGAGGCAGCAGUGAGGAAUAUUGGUCAAUGGGCGAGAGCCUGAACCAGCCAAGUAGCGUGAAGGAUGACUGCCCUAUGGGUUGUAAACUUCUUUUAUAAAGGAAUAAAGUCGGGUAUGCAUACCCGUUUGCAUGUACUUUAUGAAUAAGGAUCGGCUAACUCCGUGCCAGCAGCCGCGGUAAUACGGAGGAUCCGAGCGUUAUCCGGAUUUAUUGGGUUUAAAGGGAGCGUAGAUGGAUGUUUAAGUCAGUUGUGAAAGUUUGCGGCUCAACCGUAAAAUUGCAGUUGAUACUGGAUAUCUUGAGUGCAGUUGAGGCAGGCGGAAUUCGUGGUGUAGCGGUGAAAUGCUUAGAUAUCACGAAGAACUCCGAUUGCGAAGGCAGCCUGCUAAGCUGCAACUGACAUUGAGGCUCGAAAGUGUGGGUAUCAAACAGGAUUAGAUACCCUGGUAGUCCACACGGUAAACGAUGAAUACUCGCUGUUUGCGAUAUACGGCAAGCGGCCAAGCGAAAGCGUUAAGUAUUCCACCUGGGGAGUACGCCGGCAACGGUGAAACUCAAAGGAAUUGACGGGGGCCCGCACAAGCGGAGGAACAUGUGGUUUAAUUCGAUGAUACGCGAGGAACCUUACCCGGGCUUAAAUUGCAGAUGAAUUACGGUGAAAGCCGUAAGCCGCAAGGCAUCUGUGAAGGUGCUGCAUGGUUGUCGUCAGCUCGUGCCGUGAGGUGUCGGCUUAAGUGCCAUAACGAGCGCAACCCUUGUUGUCAGUUACUAACAGGUCCCGCUGAGGACUCUGACAAGACUGCCAUCGUAAGAUGUGAGGAAGGUGGGGAUGACGUCAAAUCAGCACGGCCCUUACGUCCGGGGCUACACACGUGUUACAAUGGGGGGUACAGAGGGCCGCUACCACGCGAGUGGAUGCCAAUCCCCAAAACCUCUCUCAGUUCGGACUGGAGUCUGCAACCCGACUCCACGAAGCUGGAUUCGCUAGUAAUCGCGCAUCAGCCACGGCGCGGUGAAUACGUUCCCGGGCCU
This 1358-nucleotide ribosomal RNA is filed under the name uncultured bacterium. RNAcentral describes it as "bacterial SSU rRNA". It matches the Rfam family "Bacterial small subunit ribosomal RNA", at positions 28 to 1381 of the family's 1533-position model. The record is from RNAcentral.